RNAcentral lists this ribosomal RNA (1387 nucleotides) under metagenome. RNAcentral describes it as "bacterial SSU rRNA". It matches the Rfam family "Bacterial small subunit ribosomal RNA", at positions 8 to 1368 of the family's 1533-position model. The record is from RNAcentral.
AGAGUUUGAUCCUGGCUCAGAACGAACGCUGGCGGCGUGCCUAAUAUAUGCAAGUCGAGCGAGAAAGUCUCCUUUGGGAGGCGAGUAAAGCGGCGCACGGGUGCGUAACACGUGAGCAACCUGCCCUCGGGCCGGGGACAACAUUCCGAAAGGGGUGCUAAUACCGGAUACGAUCUGCCGUCGCAGGGUGGCAGGUGAAAGAUGGCCUCUUCUUGAAAGCUAUCACCCGAGGAUGGGCUCGCGGCCCAUCAGCUAGUUGGUGUGGUAACGGCUCACCAAGGCUUUGACGGGUAGCUGGUCUGAGAGGAUGAUCAGCCACACUGGGAUUGAGACACGGCCCAGACUCCUAUGGGAGGCAGCAGUGGGGAAUAUUGCGUAAUGGGCGAAAGCCUGACGCAGUAACGCCGCGUAAGUGAUGAAGGCCUUUGGGUCGUAAAGCUCUGUCAGGAGGGACGAUGGGGCGACGGGAAUAAUACCCCGCCGCUUUGACGGUACCUCCAGAGGAAGCACCGGUUAAUUUUGUGUUAGUAGUUGUUGUAAUAUGGAGGGUGCAAGCGUUGUUCGGAAUUACUGGGCGUAAAGCGCGUGUAGGCGGGACGGUCAGUCAGAUGUGAAAGUUUUUGGUUUAAUUGAGGAAGUGUAUUUGAUACUGCCGGCCUAGAGUAUGGGAGAGGGAUGGGGAAUUUCUGGUGUAGAGGUGAAAUUUGUAGAUAUUGGGAGGAAUAUUUGUGGUGAAGGUGUUAUCCUGGACCGAUACUGACGCUGAGACGCGAAAGUGUGGGGAGUAAAUAGGAUUAGAUAUUUUGGUAGUUUAUAUUGUAAAUGAUGAGUGCUAGGUGUUGCGGGUAUUUAUUUUUGCAGUGCCGAAGUUAAUGUAUUAAGCACUCCGCCUGGGAAGUAUGGCCGUAAGGUUAAAACUCAAAGGAAUUGACGGGGGCCCGCAUAAGCGGUGGAGCAUGUGGUUUAAUUUGAUGCAAUGUGAAGAAUUUUACCCAGAUUUGAUUUUCCGAGAAAGCCUCUGAAAAGAGGCUGUGCCCUUUGUGGGAACUCGGAGAUAGGUGUUGUAUGGCUGUUGUCAGCUCGUGUUGUGAGAUGUUGGGUUAAGUUUUGUAAUGAGUGUAACCCCUGCCCUUAGUUGUUAUUAUUUAGUUGGGUAUUUUAGGGGGACUGCCGGUGUUAAACCGGAGGAAGGUGGGGAUGACGUUAAGUUUUUAUGGCCCUUAUGUCUGGGGUUAUACACGUGCUAUAGUGGUCGAUAUAGAGGGUUGCGAACCCGUGAGGGGGAGUUAAUUUUAAAAAGUCGGCCUCAGUUUGGAUUGGAGUUUGUAAUUUGAUUCCAUGAAGCUGGAAUCGCUAGUAAUCGCGCAUUAGUAUGGCGCGGUGAAUA